GGGUGUCAGUGCGGGUAAGUUGUAUGGAAAUACACGCCGUGGAGGGUGAGAGCCCCGUCCAACCUGCACAGGACACUCCGUACGAGAAUGAUUCAGUUGAGUCGGGUAGCUUGGGAAUGCUGCUCUAAUUGGUGGUAAAUCUCAUCAAAGGCUAAAUAUUGACCGGAAACCGAUAGCGAACAAGUACCGUGAGGGAAAGAUGACAAGCACUUUGAAAAGAGGGUGAAAAGAGCCUGAAACCGUCAUGGGGGAAGCGGAUUGCGUUGGAGAUUGGGUUGCUGUGUGUUCAGCCUUUGAAUUUUAAACGAUUUGGGGUGCAUUGGCGCAGUAAUCGAGGCACCGUGGGUUUCAGCUGGUGGAAGUUGCACUGGUUGGGGCUGAGGGAUCCCUUUUAUAGGUGAGGACGGUGUGUGAACGACGCAAUACGACCCGUCUUGAAACACGGACCAAGGAGUCUAGCGCGGUUGCGAGUCAGAGGGUGCAAGCCCGAGGGCGUAGUGAAAGCGAGUGUGAAAACGAGCAGUUUGGGGCGGCAUGAGAUUGUUAAUUUCAAGUCCGACCUUGAGCAGUUGCGCUGGGACCCGAAAGAUGGUGAACUAUGCCGGAAUAGGGCAAAGCCAGAGGAAACUCUGGUGGAGGCUCGUAGCGGUGCUGACGUGCAAAUCGCUCGUCUGAUUUUGGUAUAGGGGCGAAAGACUAAUCGAACCAUCUAGUAGCUGGUUCCCUCCGAAGUUUCUCUCAGGAUAGCGGGCCGACAGGUGUUGUUUUGUGCGGUAAAGCGAAUGAUUAGCGCACUCGGGGGCGGUUUGCCUUUGGGCGAUUCUCAAACUUUCAAUGCGCAAGGGUGCCGCUGCUUGAUUGAGCGGCACCGGCAAAAACGUCGGCCCCGUGGGCCACUUUUGGUAAGC
This 908-nucleotide ribosomal RNA is filed under the name Nothokallymenia crouaniorum. RNAcentral's name for it is "eukaryotic LSU rRNA". It matches the Rfam family "Eukaryotic large subunit ribosomal RNA", at positions 167 to 1145 of the family's 3401-position model. The record is from RNAcentral. Lineage: Eukaryota; Rhodophyta; Florideophyceae; Gigartinales; Kallymeniaceae.